RNAcentral lists this unclassified non-coding RNA (224 nucleotides) under plant metagenome. RNAcentral's name for it is "partial contains small subunit ribosomal RNA, internal transcribed spacer 1, and 5.8S ribosomal RNA". The record is from RNAcentral.
UUUCCGUAGGUGAACCUGCGGAAGGAUCAUUAGUGAAUUGAAUAUGUUAGCGGACCUCUUCGGAGUCCCUAGCAUCAAAUCAUAUCCAUAACACCUGUGAACUGUAAGGCUGUCUUGAAAACGAAAGUGAUUAGAGCGCCUGCCCAUUUUAUACAAACAUUAAAGUAACAAACGUAGUCUAUUAUAGUCUAAUAAAACUUUCAACAACGGAUCUCUUGGCUCUC